This is a non-coding RNA of Coturnix japonica (Japanese quail), 755 nucleotides long. The record is from RefSeq and is a predicted model, not a curated record. Lineage: Eukaryota; Metazoa; Chordata; Aves; Galliformes; Phasianidae.
ACAGCUGGUAGUUUGGGAUGCCUUUAUUCAUACAUUCAAUAUGGAAAGAAGUUCAGUUAACUCAGUGAAGAUUGGUUCCUUGUAUGACUGCUUGUGCUGGACCUUUGGACUUUGCACCAACAAUACCACCGGGAAUCAUCAGGGAGCCUGCAGGCAUCUACAAUACGGGUUGUAAUGCUGCUAAAUACUGCAUUUACUGGACGUAUACAGAGAAGCAGAGAACUGCAGGGCACAGUGUUACAUCACAGAUCAAUGUCAGAGAACAACAGAAAGUGGAAAGAAAACAAAAAGCAGCACACUAUAAACACUACAUAGAAAUGUACAACAAAUGAACUCUAAGAUCUGAGAAUUCAUAUUACACCGUGGAUGGAAAGUUAAUUGAUAGAGUGUGAAAUCAGGUAUUGGUUUAAUGCCUUUCCUCUGAAGGAUGUAGCAACACUUUUUAUUUGUCUGAAGAGUAAUGCACAAUGCAUGGAUAUGGUCAAAGUAUUUGUUUGAGUUAAUAUAAAUGCAAAUACCAGCGAACAUCAAACAUACCUUAUUUCCUCUUGUGGAUGAUCUUCAGUAUGUUCUUAUUGCUGUAGUGUGGCUCCUUCUGAGUGCUCUUUUUGCUUGCAAAGCACUGAUUCUCACCCAGUGAUAUUUGGUGUUUCCAAGAAGUGGGUUCAGCAGUUGCUUGUUGCUCACAGUGAGGGGCUGGUGGUUAACACUAGUGGAGGGAACUGCUUAUGUUCCAUAAUCUUGCCAAUGCAAUU